GGAAUAUCAUUAACCCACUUAAAAAUAUUUAUAAAUUGAACCUCAUCUUUUUAUUUUUAAAAAUAUUUAUAAUUAGAUAUUGACCCCUCAAUUUAUUUGUAUUAGGCAUUUUUCUUUUUCCUUUUGAUUCUAGAUUCAAAGAAGGGAGAAAAAAAUCUAGCAACCUUCUUUCAAUCACCGUCGUCGUUCUCUCUCCCUCUCCCUCUCCCUCCUAGGCUACUCGUUCUCCUUGCACCGUGCUUGCUCUACUAGGGCUUUUGUCCCUCUUUCACUCACUGUUGCUUGUUCUAUGUUCCUCUCCAUCGACGGUCUUGCUCUUUCGCCGCCGCAACACGGUUCCGCCGCCGCCGCCGCAUCACUCGGGUCCACCAAUUCAUUGGUUUUUGUCGCCUCUCUGUCCCUCUUCUUCACCAGCGACUGAUCUUUGUCCUUCUUCCUCCACCUCUGCCUUUGCGACCUACUCCUUUAAGACUGGCUAAGCUAGCUGUUGAUAAGGUCAUGACUGCACCAUGCGAGACAUCGGUUUUAUAUCCAAAGCAUGGUGGAAAUCUGCACUGUCUCACAGCAAUAACACCUUGUGCUGUGCUAGACAUUCUUUCACCUCCUUAUAGAGAAGAUGAAGGAAGGAAGUGUACUUACUAUCAUGAUUAUCCAUAUUCAACAUUCUAUUUUCCAGGGGCAUCAAGAAAUAGAUAACUGCUAUGGUCGAGGAUCUACUUUCUUUCUGGAUUCAACCAUUAAAAUCUGCAUUAGGCAGCUUCUGUAGCAGUUGCAACUUGGUGAGCAUGUUAUGAUCAUUUUCCUUUGUGUGAGGCCCAAGCAAACACUUUUUGGAGAGUCCCUCUACAUCACAAUUAGUGUAUUAACCUGAACAAAUGAAUGAUUGGAUGGUUAAAUUCUUUUCUGGUUUACCUGGAGUUCUUCACUCAUAGUCCUUCAACUUUGAGGUAUGAUUGCAAUCCGAGUUCUCUAGCCAAAAAGUUCGUAAGCAACGCCGUCUAUUGUAUCAUUGAUUUCACCAUUUAGUAUAUGCGUUUAUGUUCUUGAUUUCACCAUUUAGUUUAUGCGUUUAUGUUCUUGUACAAGAGUUUAUGUUCUUGAUUUCACCAUUUAGUUUAUGCGUUUAUGUUCUUGUACAAGAGUUCUGCAUGUAUGCUUAGUAGUGCUUGUAAGUUUUGAGACUUGUUUGUAGCUUUGAUUUGGAAAU
This is a long non-coding RNA of Arachis duranensis, 1207 nucleotides long. RefSeq lists it as uncharacterized. Lineage: Eukaryota; Viridiplantae; Streptophyta; Magnoliopsida; Fabales; Fabaceae. The record is from RefSeq and is a predicted model, not a curated record. The transcript is spliced from 4 exons.